AUGCUAAUCAAAGAUUUUAUUUAUUUGAGAGAAAAGCAGACUGCAGACUCCCCACUGAGCGGGGAGCCCAAAGUGGGUCUCAAUCCCAGGACCCUGAGAUCAAGACCUGAGCCAAAAGGCAGCUGCCCAACUGACCAAGCCACCCAGGAGAAAUGGAAAACCAUGGAGGAAAAUGAGAUUUACAGUGUUGAGGAAUUCUCACUCAAUGAAAUUUUUAUUUAACACACUGUCAAGCAGAAUCAUCUUCAGGAGUUAUGAAUAUUUUGGCCGAUCUUCCUGGAAGCAGGAAAUGAACCUUCACUUUAUUGAAUGUCUCUACAAAAUGGGGCCAUUAUGAUUUAAUUGAAGAAUAAAUAAAGGCACAAAGGCAAAUACCAAAAUAUCAAGUGCUGCAUUGCAUGACAUUAGUUCUAAAAUCCUGAUUUCUUUUUGAAAAAUGCUAAAAGGAAUUGUGUUAUUCAUUGCUUUCCAAGCUUUCAAGAUUAUUAUCUCUAUACCCUAAACCUUUUUCAUUCCUUCAAUAUUUGCCACUUUGUAAAAUAGGAGUGCUAGCAAUUCUUGAGAGACCAAUCCAUUUGAAUUAGGGAGUCUUUAACCUUAACAUUAGUACCAGAU
RNAcentral lists this long non-coding RNA (615 nucleotides) under Mustela putorius furo (domestic ferret). RNAcentral's name for it is "lncRNA (ENSMPUG00000030288.1)". The record is from RNAcentral. Lineage: Eukaryota; Metazoa; Chordata; Mammalia; Carnivora; Mustelidae.